RNAcentral lists this long non-coding RNA (1497 nucleotides) under Nicotiana tabacum (common tobacco). Its description in RNAcentral is "long non-coding RNA (NTAB_LNC018921)". The record is from RNAcentral. Lineage: Eukaryota; Viridiplantae; Streptophyta; Magnoliopsida; Solanales; Solanaceae.
UCGAGUUGCAUGACAUCUUCAAUAAGCAACUUGGUAUUCAAGAAGGAAGAUCCUUCUUCUUUUAUUGCCUUUUUUGACAUGUGUGCCAAUUCCUUUGCUCUUUUUCUUCUUUCUUCACUCUCUAAUCCUUUAUCCAUUAGUUGAUCUAUUGCUUCUUUCACUUGAUCCUUAUUAACCAACACACCAUUCUUCUCUUCAUUCCAAGAAUUAAUACUCACUUCAACCCCAACUCGAACCCCAAUCUUCAAAACAUUUACAAUGAAUUUCUCAUUGUAAAAUUGCUCGGCAAACAUAGGAAAAGUAAUCAUUGGUACGCCACAAGAAGUUCCUUCCAGAGUCGAAUUCCAUCCACAAUGCGUUAAGAAUCCUCCAAUAGAUGAAUGAGAUAAUAUUAAAACUUGUGGGGCCCAACCUCGAAUUAUCAUUCCUCUUCCUUUAACCCUUUUUUCAAAAUUUUCAUCCCUUAGCCAUUUUUCAACUUGUGAUGUCAAAUUUACCUUUCUAAUUAUCCAAAUGAAAGGCACAUUUGAUGACUCCAACCCUAAUCCAAUUUCCUUCAUUUGCAAAAAUGAAAUUUGACAAAGGCUACCAAAACAAGCAUAAAUGACCGAUUUAGGCUUCAUAGAAUCAAGCCAACUCAAACAAUUGUGUUCAUCUAUAGAGGUCUUGUUUCCUCUAUCAACCAUUUCAUCCAUUUCAUUGUUACCCAAUGAUACUGGACCAAUACAAAAGACUUUGUUCAUUAUUUUUUUGUAUUCAUCAAUAUACCAAGGCUCCAACUCUUCAAAAGUAUUAAUCAAAGUACCUCUUGCCAAGUCUUGAGACUGUUUAAUUUUGUCAAUAAUACUCUUCAUAUCUUGAGAUUUAUUUGUUGAAGUGCCAUUCAACAAUAUUUGACCUUUUGUGAACUCAAUCUUGUGUGGCACAUUAGGUAUCAAGAAUGAAUCUGAAUCCAACACAAGGGUUUCUUGUAUUUUUUCUUGAUUUAUUAUGUGAGAACAAAAGAGAGUGAAACAAGAAACAGUUUGAAAUACAUACCUUGGAAUCUUGAAUUUAUUGGCAACUUGUUGUGUCCAAAUAAGAGGACUAGUUGAAAUAAUACAACUUGGUUUUGGUUCCAAGUCAUGAAUCAAUUUCUCUAGUGGUUCUUGCAUCAUCUCACUAGCCAAAAGGAACUCUUUUAAUAACUCUAGUGAACUUAGUGUAUCUAAAUUUUCACAUUCUUGAGGCAACCCAACUUCUUGAUUUGGGAAAUGAAGAGGAAUUAAUUGGAUUUUUAGAUUGGAUUUUAUAGCAUGAGUUACUAUAGAUUUGUACCUUUGGGCAUUGAGAGGUGUGGUGAUAAUAGAGACAGUCACUCCAUGUAGGGCUAGUAAUUUUGCAAAGUCUGUUAAUGGUAUAAUAUGGCUUUGAGACAUUAAAGGUAUCAAAAGGAAAUGAAGUUGUUUAGAUAGGGAAGCCAUUUUUGGAAAAGCUUUAGUUUGGUUCUGUGUAAAG